ACGGAAGGCAGCAGUGAGGAAUAUUGGUCAAUGGGCGGAAGCCUGAACCAGCCAAGUCGCGUGAAGGAUGAAGGUAUUAUGUAUUGUAAACCUCUUUAGUCGCAGAGAAAUAAGGAGGUCGAGACCUCUGAUGCUAGUAUGCGAAGAAUAAGGAUCGGCUAACUCCGUGCCAGCAGCCGCGGUAAUACGGAGGAUCCGAGCGUUAUCCGGAUUUAUUGGGUUUAAAGGGUGCGCAGGCGGCUUUUUAAGUCAGUGGUCAAAUCGUGGGGCUCAACCCCAUCCCGCCAUUGAUACUGGAGAGCUUGAUUGCGGUCGAGGUUGGCGGAAUUCGUCGUGUAGCGGUGAAAUGCAUAGAUAUGACGAAGAACACCGAUUGCGUAGGCAGCUGACCAGGCCGUAAAUGACGCUCAUGCACGAAAGUGCGGGGAUCGAACAGGAUUAGAUACCCUGGUA
RNAcentral lists this ribosomal RNA (453 nucleotides) under uncultured Porphyromonadaceae bacterium. RNAcentral's name for it is "partial 16S ribosomal RNA". It matches the Rfam family "Bacterial small subunit ribosomal RNA", at positions 341 to 792 of the family's 1533-position model. The record is from RNAcentral. Lineage: Bacteria; Pseudomonadati; Bacteroidota; Bacteroidia; Bacteroidales; Porphyromonadaceae.